This 252-nucleotide ribosomal RNA is filed under the name uncultured bacterium. Its description in RNAcentral is "partial 16S ribosomal RNA". It matches the Rfam family "Bacterial small subunit ribosomal RNA", at positions 15 to 263 of the family's 1533-position model. The record is from RNAcentral.
GAUCCUGGCUCAGAUUGAACGCUGGCGGCAGGCCUAACACAUGCAAGUCGAACGGUAGCACAGAGGAGCUUGCUCCUUGGGUGACGAGUGGCGGACGGGUGAGUAAUGUCUGGGAAACUGCCCGAUGGAGGGGGGAUAACUACUGGAAACGGUAGCUAAUACCGCAUAACGUCGCAAGACCAAAGAGGGGGACCUUCGGCCUCUUGCCAUCGGAUGUGCCCAGAUGGGAUUAGCUAGUAGGUGGGGUAACGG